AGUGAACGCUGGCGGUAGGCCUAACACAUGCAAGUCGAACGGCAGCACAGUAAGAGCUUGCUCUUACGGGUGGCGACUGGCGGACGGGUGAGGAAUACAUCGGAAUCUACUUUUUCGUGGGGGAUAACGUAGGGAAACUUACGCUAAUACCGCAUACGACCUACGGGUGAAAGCAGGGGAUCUUCGGACCUUGCGCGAUUGAAUGAGCCGAUGUCGGAUUAGCUAGUUGGCGGGGUAAAGGCCCACCAAGGCGACGAUCCGUAGCUGGUCUGAGAGGAUGAUCAGCCACACUGGAACUGAGACACGGUCCAGACUCCUACGGGAGGCAGCAGUGGGGAAUAUUGGACAAUGGGCGCAAGCCUGAUCCAGCCAUACCGCGUGGGUGAAGAAGGCCUUCGGGUUGUAAAGCCCUUUUGUUGGGAAAGAAAAGCAGCAGGUUAAUACCCCGCUGUUCUGACGGUACCCAAAGAAUAAGCACCGGCUAACUUCGUG
This 492-nucleotide ribosomal RNA is filed under the name uncultured bacterium. RNAcentral describes it as "partial 16S ribosomal RNA". It matches the Rfam family "Bacterial small subunit ribosomal RNA", at positions 29 to 507 of the family's 1533-position model. The record is from RNAcentral.